UAGCAUAAUCAUUAGUUUUUUAAUUGGAAACUAGAAUGAAUGGUUGGACAAGAAAAAAACUGUCUCUUUUAUUAAAAUUGAAAUUAACUUUUAAGUGAAAAGGCUUAAAUUUACUAAGGGGACGAUAAGACCCUAUAAAGCUUUAUAAAUUCAGGAAUUUUAGAUAUUUUAUAUAUAAAUCUAUUUUUUGAUAAUUUAUUUGGUUGGGGCGACAAGGGUAUAAUUAUAAAUAACUGCCAUUAAUGUUUAUACAUAUAUUUUUGAUUUAAAUUUGAUAUAGUAGUUGAUCCUUUUUAAGGAUUUAAAGAUCAAGUUACUUUAGGGAUAACAGCGUAAUUUUUUCUGAGAGUCCUUAUCAAAGAAGAAGUUUGCGACCUC
RNAcentral lists this ribosomal RNA (378 nucleotides) under Charybdis granulata. RNAcentral describes it as "partial 16S ribosomal RNA". Lineage: Eukaryota; Metazoa; Arthropoda; Malacostraca; Decapoda; Portunidae. The record is from RNAcentral.